AGACAGGGUUUCUCUGUGUAGCUCUGGCUGUCUUGAAACUCACUCUAUAGACCAGGCUGGCCUCAAACUCAGAAUUCCAUCUGUCUCUGCCUCCCAAGUGACAGGAUUAAAGGCAUGCACCACUACUGCCUGGCCUUUUUUCACUAUUCUUAUGUCCUUAUAUUUGUAAUUUUGUAUCUGGUAGAUAAGUUUUCUCUCUAAGUUUUGUCAAAAAUUGUUCGUUCGUUUGUUUGUUUGUUUGGUUGGUUGGUUGGUUGAUUUUUUUUGUAAGAGACCUUCCUCGAGAUAUGCCCUGAAUACUACAUGGAUGUGUGGCAUUGCCUUUGGAGUGAGUUCUGGGUAAGGAGCUAUCCACCUGAGUGCACUCAGCCGACCAGAAGUCACACCUUUACAGAAAACUGACUCUCCGGUCCUCAGAAGACAUUGGGGCUCAUGAAAACCUACCCACUCCAUGCUGGAAUGUGGUCUGGCUUUUGCAAGUCUUAUGCAGGCAGCCACAGCUGCUAUUGAUUUUAUAGAGUCAGAAAUUAUCUCUUAAUACAUCAAGAAAGUCACUGCAAAGGACUGAGGGGAGACUAUACUGCGUCCCUGGUUUGCAUUGUGGAUGUGCUAACUGACCUUUGUUUUGAGUCAAAUCUUUCAGUGACUU
This 649-nucleotide long non-coding RNA is filed under the name Mus pahari (shrew mouse). Its description in RNAcentral is "predicted gene 43192 (MGP_PahariEiJ_G0005818.1)". The record is from RNAcentral. Lineage: Eukaryota; Metazoa; Chordata; Mammalia; Rodentia; Muridae.